AGAACACAUGAUCACUUAGCAUAUAAGUGUCCAAACACAUCCCUCUCAUCUCUCAUCUCUCCCAAAUACCCUUUCAGAGACGCCAUGUAAACCCUAGUCGUUGCCUAAAAAUUCCCUCGCCGCUGUCGACGGCGCCUCCUCCUUUUACCACCAAAUUAAUACCCCUUGAAUCCCCUUCUUCCCCUCAUUCCAAAACUCUACUCAUCUCCUCGAAUCCCCAUUGAACUGCUCAAAUUUCAAAUCAAAGAGUCGAGCCCUAAAAGCCUAAAAUCGAAAUUAAGCAUGCAAGGUCAAGGGUCCAAUCUCAUGAAGUUUUAGGGCCAAUUUUAUCGCGAAAUAGUGUUAUGUGACUAUUUUUGACCAAGAACAGAUGAUUGACAUUAUCUCGCAGUUUAACUUGGAAGGUCCGUCCAAGUUUGAGUUUGAAUCGGUAAGUAUUCUUUAUUUUUUUCUAUCUAUUUUUAUUGUGUCACCAUAUGUCCCCUUUCUCUGUCUUCUAUCCUACUUAAAUUGGUUUCUUCUGAGGAAUUUAGGGAAAUUUCAAUUUUCUGAAUCUUGGUUUUGUUUGUUUUCAUUAGUCAUUUGAUACUCAUGCUAUGUCAUGCUUUCCAGUGUGCUUGGUUGAUUGUAUUUGGUUUGCUCGUUUGCAAUUUUUGUUUUCAUUUAGUAGUGUUAGGCUUAUGAUUUUUGUUGUAGUUCUCAUGAUUAAUUUUUAAUCUUAUUUCCCUUUGUUUUGAUUUCACUUCGAAUCCGUUUAAUUUGUAACCCUUUUUUGGGUUUGAAUUUUUGUUUGGGCUUUGAUAGGCUAUAUUUGGUUGCUGAUUGAAUUAAAGACCAGAAGAAAUGGGGUUCAUUCUAGCUGGAAAGCCCAGGUUGAAGGCUGGACCCUUGGGUCAAUUUGACGGAUAAAUCAUUUGGGGUUUAGGGGGAAGGGGAUAAAAACAGGGUAACCAAAGGUUAAAUUGGGUAAUUCAAUUGAGGAAUCUUGUAGUAACUGUCUUAAGAAGCUUCUAGAAAGCUAAACAUAGUCUUACUUGGUUAGCAAGUCAAAAUUUGAGGGAUUAAGUAGCAAUAAAAAAAUUAGAGAAAGGAAGAACUACAAAAAGGAAAUCUGAUAGUUGCUCUAUUGUUGUGCCUAUAAAACAUUCCAUUCUUGCUUUUCAAGGCAAGGAUUAAGAGAGAAAAUUCUAAAAAAUCAGACGGCUGCACAAAAUUAAUGUUUCAUUGAAGUCUUUUGUGUGAUUUGUUGAGUUUCCAAUUUCUGAGAUUAUUUUUUAUCCUUCUUGAGUUGAAAUGAUUUGAGUUUGAUUGCUUUUCAAUUUUGAGUUCAAAGUUUGGUUUGUUCUUUGGGUUGCUGCAUCUAAUCUGUUACCUUUGUUGGUUCAAAUUGUGGUAAAAAACUGUUUCUCCUGGCUAUUUCUGCAGCUAACACUGCUCUAUUGUGUUGAUCAUCUUCCUUUUCUCUUAUUUCGUCUUCCAGGUACACAUUUUCUGAACUAAAAACCAUAUAUGAAGUCUGAAUUUCAAAAGGAAAUGAAAACAUCAAACAUGGCUUCAGCAUGUCUCGGCUCUCCAACUUGGUGCUAUUGUGUCCAUAUUACAUGAUUUUGAGUUUGUUCAAUAUAGUGAAUGUUUUAUUAUGAUGGCUAUAAUUAAUAUAUUUCUGACAUGAAGUUAAAUGUAAUAUUUCCUUAUGGAUUGGUCGUGGGAUUUACAGUUUGUUAUGGUAGUUCAGUUUGAACCGGAAAGGACACUCAGUUGUAAUGUGUUAAUUAAAUGAUUGUGCAUUUUCUGUUUGAAUAUGAAAUAUGUUGCAUUGGAUCUCUUGAUGCAUUUCAAAUUAGGUGUUGAUCUCAAGUCGCUUGGGAUGAGUUAAGUAUAUAGACUGUUGAGCAAACUGUUUAUGGGCAAGGACUGGUAAUUGCAGCAUUUGAAACUCAAUUGAGUAGUAUUUAGGUCUGAAGUAUUUGGUUAUUUCAUGUGAUUAGUGUUCUGUUUGUAAUGCUAAAGCUCAAUAGAAUCAUCUUUAGGACUAUGGAUUUAUAAUAGCCACUCAGUGCCAGGUGUUCUUUUCUCAACUAUUUGGUUUAGCCUUAGGAGUAAUUCAAUAAGUUAAGGAACUUAAUUUGUCUUUUGAAGGGUAAAAUAGUGAUGUGUAUAUUUGUUUAACGCUUUAGAACAGUCAUGACCCAUUGCUUGUCCUUUUGCUUGAUAAUUGAAAAGUGAAAUGCAAAAGAUUAACCUCCUGUGUUGAUUUGUGGAUUCGAACUAGGGACCUCAUCUCCUGUUGAGGCUAUUUUGUUUGGAUCUGGGCUGUUAUAUGCUCAGCUUAGACUGCCGUUAAUUGGUAACGCAGGGUGGUGUCAUGCCAGUGGGUUGUUGAGCAUCAUGAUCAAUCCAAAUGCCCUUUUUUUAUGUUCGACUCGUCCUUCUAGUUUUAAAACAACACUUUUAGCUGGCUUAGGUAAUAGUGGAGGUCUCAUGUCUUCAAUAAAUUGAGG
Molecule: long non-coding RNA, 2501 nt
Filed under: Nicotiana benthamiana
Lineage: Eukaryota; Viridiplantae; Streptophyta; Magnoliopsida; Solanales; Solanaceae
Description: long non-coding RNA (NBEN_LNC009108)
Source: RNAcentral